UAGUGAGCUAGAGCUAUUUUUGUGCGAUGGGAUAAGAAAAGGGAGCAGAUCAGAUUUUUUGAUUUGCUGGAGGCUAUUAUUUUUCCAUAAAAAGAGCGUUCAGCAGCUUAAAAGGGGGCGGUCAAAAAUAGAAAAAGAAGAAGAUUAGAGGGGCGGGGCACUCGAGGAAGAAAAAAAAAGUUCUCUAACUGAACCAGCAAGUGCCGAUCAACCAGCUGGAAUAGCAGUCAAAAUUUCAGCUAGCUGAGAGGAGGGAAGCUCGACAAUUUGAGAAGUUUUCUUUUCCAAGAUUCAGUUCGUAAUUCAUGUUAUUUACAAUUGAUUCUUGUUUUGUUUUACUCGCUAUGAGUAGCUAAAUUACUUAAUCUUAGUUAGACACUUAUGAAACCGAGCACAGGGGAUUUGACGAUUUAUUUUGUUUUAAAUUCAAAUUCAGUAUUCUUGAAUUGUUUGUUUUAUCGCUCAAGGAAUUUUUCUAAAUCAAUUGGAUUGAUCACGUAUUUAAUUUAGGAAUUUUCUUAUAAUCAUCUAAGUGCAAAUUCAGUAAUCGAAUUUCUUAAUUAAACUUAGAAUAGGUGAUGACUAAUUGGCUUGCAGCUAAUUAAAACAACUACGGAUUUAAUUUUAGAAGCCGCUGGAGGAUUUUCUUUGGUUAAUGCUAGGUGAAGUCUCUAAAAUACUAAAUGCACCUUUAAUUAGUCAACAAAGAGAUAAUUAAAGGUAGGUUUUCAUUUACGAAUGUUCUCUAAUUGAAUAAAAAUUUACUGGGGAUAGGAAGUCGCUUCGUAAGUGAUUUUUUUUAGCCUUGCUGCCGAAUUAGUCUACUAGGAUAAUUUAAGGUCGCAAAGGACUUGUGCUUGGCGGAUUAAGGAGUCAAUAACUAAGCAUCUUUCUCUUUAUUUUGGUAAUUUUUCAGCAUUCAUAAUUAAAGAUAAAACUUGUUCGUUACUUUAGGUUAUUUUUAGCAAACGUAGAAGCAUAGACCCCCCCAUUUUUCUUUCUUGCAUGCGUUUUACAUCACUUUAAUUUCAACUCUCUUCAAAUAGAUUUAACGCGAGCUUCUUCGUGGGACGAUUCCCUAUUUACUUUAUAUUACCAGUUACUACUGGUUGAAUAGCAGAUAAAAUUCUGUAGUCAUAACGACAGUUACCAACAUCCGAGUCCGAAAAAUAUUUUAAUGUGUUUAUUAUGUGUGAAUUUAUAUGUGUGAAAGUUUCGUGAAUUAAUUUUAUUAUUUGAGUGCUUAAUUUGAGAAUAGGGCUUAAUCGCGUAAAAUAAAAAAAUUAGUCAUUAAUUAUGAAAGAGCCUAAUUGUUGUUGUCUUUGUAUGUUGGAGGUUCUAUGAUGCAAUUAGUCCACUAUAUAAGUUAGUGGAUGGUAAUGGUCAAGAAUGACCUUAUAUUAUAUGUUAUAUAUAUAUUAGUAAAGGUUAAAUUAGUAAAAUAAUAAUAAGUUAGUAUAAUGAUAACUAAAUAAAACAAAAGCAUGUAAAUGGCCAUUAUCAUCUUUAUUCUUGCCGAAAAUACAAAGAAAAAGAAAAGAGAAAAAGGGUUCUAGAGUUCGGCACAUGCAUUGGCUAAUUAGGUAUGUGUUUUUGAUUUAUUUUAGAUAAUUUUAAUAGUUUUCUGAUUGUUGCUUAGCACUCUAUCUAGCCCAUGCCUUAUUUUGAAAUUUGAUGAUGAUUUUGAGUUAUGCUAUUGAUGCUUUUGUAAGUUUUGUGAUGAUAAUUGAUGAAAAAUAAAAGAUAUUUGUUAGAUUGACAUGUUUUGUUUUUGAAUUUUUGGUGAAAUUGAGUAAUUAGGGUUAAAUUGUGAAAAUAAAUUUGAGAGACUAAAAUGCUAAAUAAAUGAAAAAUAUGGACUUGUAUGGACACUAGGAAAAUUCGGCACUUAAGGAGUGUAGUCAAAUUUUGUGUAUUUUGUGUUUUAAGGAAAAAUGAUUAAAUUGUAAAAAGUGUGAAAUGUUAGGGGUAAAAUUGUAAUUUUCCCAUUCAUGUGUUUUUAGGCUAAAUUAAAUAGAAUGGUGUUUAAAUAAGCUUAAUUUGAAUAUGUUUAGAUCAAGAAUUAAAGAAAUCGAAUUUGGAUCGGGGAAUGACAAAAGUGGUUAAGUAGCGAUUUAGCAGUCGAUAACAUCCGAGGUAAGUCCGUAAGCAUUUAAAUGUUGAUAUAAUCAUAAAAAUGUAAUUUUUAUUUACCGAAUUGAAUUUUUGGGAAUAAUUUGGGCUAUGGCCGAAUAUGGUAUUAUGAUGUGGCUACUUUUCGAGUUUGAUUCGAACGAGAUAUGACGUCCGUAAGCCCCGUAUGAACCUUAGGAAUAAUUAGGAUACAUAAUUCAUGACAUAGGAUUUCUGAGAUGUGUUAUCGUGUAAGACCACGUCUGGGACGUUGGCAUCGACUUGUGUUUACGUGUAAGACCUUGUCUGGGACAGUAGCAUCGAUACGUGAUUACAUGUAAGACCACGUCUGGGACGUUGGCAUUGUAAGAGUUUCCGACUAUCCGCAUGUCCUUUUUAAUUCCUAAUGGUUCAACGGGCAAUAUGAAAUAAAGUCCGUUCAUGGAAAGGUAUAAAAGUUUCAGGUAUGAAUUAGCCAUUUAAUUACAAGGGAAUAAGAUGAGUUAGUUAAUUGAAUUGGUAAAAGUUAUCAAUUUGAUUAUGUAUUAUAAGCUAACCAUUUGUAUAUUGGAAUGUUUUGGGCUGUUGAUAUAUGAUAUAAAAUAUCUAUGUUUUGAGUACAGGUAUUUGGCUUGUGCAAGAUUUAUAUAUAAAAAAAUGGUGAUCAUUUUUUAGAUGUUAAAUGAUGCUACGUAAUUGAUAUUCGAUUAUAUUUACUUAAUGUUUUUGAGCAAAUAUUUAUACGUAAGAUUUUGCUUAUGACUUACUAAGCUCAAGAAGCUUACUUUGUGUGUGUAUUUGCUUGUGUCUGUUUUAUAGAUUUUGGAGUCGCGUUACGAGCUCAGGGAUUGUCAGCAGAGUCUAUCACACUAUCGAUAUCUUUUGGGUACUUUGAUAAAUUUUUAAACUCGAUAUUAUGGCAUGUAUAGGCUUGCUUAUGUUUUUGGUUAGUUUUCGAAUAUGUAUAUAAAUGGUCAUGCGAAAAUGGCUCAUCUUAUUUUGAUCGAGUUUGGUGUUUAUGCAUAUGUUUUUAAUGGUCAUGGAAAUGGGGUUUAUAAUUUUGCAUAUUGAAUUAUGGUAUAAGUUUGUGAUAUGAUAAUAAAUGUGAUAUAUAUAUAGUUUGGAAAUGUUAAAUUUGGUUAAGUGAUUAGUAUAUGUAUAAUAGUUAUGCAUUGGAUGAUG
Molecule: long non-coding RNA, 3294 nt
Filed under: Gossypium barbadense (sea-island cotton)
Lineage: Eukaryota; Viridiplantae; Streptophyta; Magnoliopsida; Malvales; Malvaceae
Description: long non-coding RNA (GBAR_LNC022383)
Source: RNAcentral